AGAGUUUGAUCCUGGCUCAGGACGAACGCUGGCGGCGUGCUUAACACAUGCAAGUCGAACGGACCUAGUUGGUGGUAACACCGACGAAAGUUAGUGGCGAACGGGUGCGUAACACGUGAGUAACCUGCCCUAGAGACUGGGAUAACACCGGGAAACCGGUGCUAAUACCGGAUACCCCCAUACCAUCGCAUGAUGGAAUGAGGAAAUGAUUUAUUGCUCUUGGAGGGGCUCGCGGCCUAUCAGCUUGUUGGUGAGGUAAUGGCUCACCAAGGCUUCGACGGGUAGCUGGUCUGAGAGGACGACCAGCCACACUGGGACUGAGACACGGCCCAGACUCCUACGGGAGGCAGCAGUGGGGAAUAUUGCGCAAUGGGCGAAAGCCUGACGCAGCAACGCCGCGUGGAGGACGAAGGCUCUCGGGUUGUAAACUCUUUUCAGCAGGGAAGAAAUUGACGGUACCUGCAGAAGAAGCACCGGCCAACUACGUGCCAGCAGCCGCGGUAAUACGUAGGGUGCAAGCGUUGUCCGGAUUCAUUGGGCGUAAAGAGCUCGUAGGCGGCUUGGCAAGUCGGAUGUGAAACCCUCAGGCUCAACCUGGGGAUGUCAUCUGAUACUGCCAUGGCUAGAGUACGGUAGGGGACUACGGAAUUCCUGGUGUAGCGGUGAAAUGCGCAGAUAUCAGGAGGAACACCGGUGGCGAAGGCGGUAGUCUGGGCCGUUACUGACGCUGAGGAGCGAAAGCGUGGGGAGCGAACAGGAUUAGAUACCCUGGUAGUCCACGCCGUAAACGUUGGGCACUAGGUGUGGGGUCUAUUCGACGGACCCCGUGCCGUAGCUAACGCAUUA
RNAcentral lists this ribosomal RNA (846 nucleotides) under uncultured bacterium. RNAcentral describes it as "bacterial SSU rRNA". It matches the Rfam family "Bacterial small subunit ribosomal RNA", at positions 8 to 862 of the family's 1533-position model. The record is from RNAcentral.